GGCUUCGUAACUCGGUUGGUAGAACAUUUGCGGUGUUUGGGGAUGUUUCUGUCGCUGAUUCGAAUCCAGCCGAAGUCC
Non-coding RNA from Paragonimus skrjabini miyazakii, 78 nucleotides. The record is from the annotation of a GenBank genome assembly. NCBI's taxonomy places the organism in Eukaryota, Metazoa, Platyhelminthes, Trematoda, Plagiorchiida, Troglotrematidae.